CCGAGUUAACUCUUCUCAUUUGAAAUUAACUCAUUUCUCUCUCUCCAAAACCAAACGAAGCCCUAAUAGAAGAAGAAAACUCUGCCGGACGGUGCUGCUCAUAUGCACACAAGGAUUGCAAAAUAACGGGCGACGGCUGAAAAUUAUUUUUCUGGUGAGUGCUGAAACCCUCAAACAAGGGACGGAAACUCUUUUUACUGUUCAAUAAUCAAUACAAGCCCAUGGAAUAGUUUGGAUCUCCUUCUUUCUCGGCUAAUUGAAAGUAAUUUGUAGAGUAUGAAACUAUGAAUGACAAUUGCCAGAUAUAAUUAUGAAAUUGUUAGUUUCUGUUUUUCAUCUUCAAACUUGGCCUAAAUUUCCCCUUUUUGCUCAAUUUAAACAAAAAAAAAAAAAAAAAAAAAACGCUACUACUAAACCCUAAAUGGAAGUGAAGAAAGAAAUCAAGAAAUAGGGGUGAUUUGAUUCAAGGUGUUUCAAGUUCAAAUUGUUAAUUAGUGCGGGAACUAAAGAGUCAUAAAAUAAUUUGUUGCUUUUUAAUCAAAGGAUAUCAAUCAGGUAACAUAUAUAGACUGCAAAAGAUGCAAAUCAGUGUCUUUCUUUGUGUGCUCAUGUCCGCAUGUGACAGAGAGAGAGUACCUGUAAUCUGAUGGAUUAUACUUUACUUUAUUGUUGAUUUGAUUUCAUAGGUAUUUUUUCCCCAUUAUUUUUCUUUGUUUCCUUUUUAGUUUUUUGGUAAGGGAUAAUUUGAUAAUUAGGUUGAUGUGAAAUGGGUUUUGAUUGUUUUUGUUAUUUAAGUAGUUUUUUUACGAUUAUUUAAUUCAAAAUGAAUCUUCAUAUUUAUUGGAAAGUAUGGGGAUGAACGAAAUCUUGAUUUACUUGUUAAUUUACUCUCUUAUUUGGAUAAAUUGGUUUCGUUUGUUCAUAUUUUGUCUCCUCGUAUUUUUAAAGUUAAAAAAAAAAAAAAAAAAAAGGUAACAUCGCUGCAUUCUUUUAUGUGUUUAAGAUAGGAGGUAUAAUUUUUUGGGAAAAAGCUACAUCUAUUAAUUUGAUGGAAAUCCAACAAAAGAGUUCAAAUUUAUUUUACUAUUAUGUGGAAUUAGAUAUGUUUAAAAAAUAUGGCCUUUACUAUAAUUAUUUAGAAUCCCUGGUAUUAGAAGCUUUCCAAACCUUUUAAAAUUGAUGUUUACCUUCUGGACAGGGUCUAUCGUCUAGAUGUUUAUCAUGUUAUUAUCUCCCUAUACCUUAAAAGACACUUACCAAUAGUUACUGUUCUUAGUUGAGUUCCACAUUUUCACACUUAACUUUUUGGAACUGGUUUGGCAAUUUCGAUGGGAUGGUAGUUAUUGUUGAUGAGCCCAAAAGUUUUUUGUAUCAGUCAUUCGAUUUUUCAGACUUGAAACUCAUUUCACAGGAAUUUUUUCUUCAUCAACUUGCAUAUUUUUGCAUCCAUAUGCUCCCAGAUUAUUAUACAUAUGUUUUCAUUCAUGUUUAGAAAAUCUUAAGCCGUUUGGAUGACUCAAAGAUUAAAUAUUCAUUCUAUGAAUUAUAAUUAUUUAACAAUUAAUUGAUUUAUCUCAGUUUAAUUCAUGCAUGACUCUUUACUUAGGAAAUGAAAAGUUGGGUUUAAGAAAUAUUUUUUAAUGUAGAGGUUUCUUCCCAUGAUUUUUUUUAUUUAAAGAAAAUUCCUAAUUUUUGGCAGAGUUUUAGUUUAGUUCUCAAUUUAUUUGAUUGAGAUGAAGAAAUUAAGUGAAAUUCUAAAGGGAAAUGAAAUGUUGGGAUUUAAGAAGGUUUGGUGUUUUGAUGGGAUUGAUGAAAUUAAUCGGAGUUCUGAGACAAUGGGUGGUGGAAAAUGGAGUGUGAUUUCCCUAUACCUUAAAAGACACUUACCAAUAGUUACUGUUCAUAGUUGAGUUCACGUUUUCACUCUUAACUUUUUGAAACUGGUUCGGCAAUUUCGAUGGGCUGGUAGUUACUGUUGAUGAGCCCAAAAGUUUUUUGUAUCAGUCAUUCAAUUUUUCAAACUUGAAACUCAUUUCACACAAAUUUUUUCUUCAUCAUCUUGCAUGUUUUUGCAUCCAUAUGCUCCCAAAUUAUUAUACAUAUGUUUUCAUUCAUGUUCAGAAAAUCUUAAGCCGUUUGGAUGACUCAAAAAUUAAAUAUUCAUUCUAUGAAUUAUAUCUAUUUAACAAUUAAUUGAUUUAUCUAAGUUUAAUUCAUGCAUGAUUCUUUACAUAGGAAAUGAAAAAUUGGGUUUAGGAAAUAUUUUCUAAUGUAGAGGUUUCUUCUCAUGAUUUUUUUUUUUGAUUUAAAGAAAUUCCUAAUUUUAGGCAGAGUUUUAUUUUAGUUCUCAAUUUAUUUGAUUGAGAUGAAGAAAGUAAGUGAAAUUCUGAAGGGGAAAUGAAAUGUUGGGAUUUAAGAAAGUUAGGUGUUUUGAUGGGAUUGAUGAAAAUUAUCGAAGUUUUGAGACAAUGGGUGGUGGAAAAGAGAGUGUGAUAUUAAAAAUAGAGAAGUAGGUGUUGGAGCAAUGAAUCAAAAUGAUUUCUUUGUUGGGAAUGAAGUUUCUCAUAGUUUUGUAGUGGAUUCAUGUCUUCUUCACGUGAAUGAUCAGAACAAAUGGGACUUUGAUUUUAAUGACGGGAAAGAAGAAAGUAGGUUGGAUUUUGAUAAUAAUGUGCCCAGUGUGCCGAACUUUGACAUGAAAGAUGGUGGAAUGGAAAUAAUCUAUCAAGGAUAAACACAACAACAACCGUGAACAUUGAGAGGAGAGUGGAAAUUAUUGACAUUACGUCAAUGAGAGGAAAUGAUGUGGAAAUAAUGGCUUAUAAAAAUGAUGAUAUAGGAAAGGGUAAGCAAAUUGAGGUUGAGAUGUUACGUGAUAAUACAGAAAGUUUGAACGUUGCUGUGGCAUACUCUUCUCAUUAUGUAGGAUUAGGUGUAUCUGUUCAAUAUGCGUGCUAGAUGCAUUUUGAAAGUACUUGAGGUUGUUUUGUAGUAUGAUUUUGGAGUAAAUGUAUACACAUUUUCUGUUUGCUAUAUAGAUGUUGAGACAACAUUAUUUUUUAUAGCCUAAUUAUGGUAAAUCCAAAUAAACUAGAAUGCACUAUAUUACACCAUCUGGAAUCAUAAAAGUAAAUACUUAACCCCUUGUACCAUGGAAAUGUAAUGCUUAAAAAUAGUUCAAUUAGCAUGCUAUAGACCAAUUGAAUUUCGCACAUGAAUUCCAUGUAUGUGGAAUAUUUCCUACUUUCGUAUGAUAAUUAUUGAGAGGGGGUGGUAUUGUCUGGUUAUUUUGAAGUAUGAGUGCUAACACGUAAUGCCUUCUUUUUCAAGAGAUGCAGAGACUAUAACUUGCAUGUGUGGUUAAGUCAAGUGGGGUCUGGUGCUGGUUGUGAUUAUUUAUUUGCAUCCAAACUAAUGGUAGGAUGGCAAAAAAAACACACUCGAUAAAAUUUAAAAAGUUAGGUUGAAGAAAAUGAAAGCUAGGGGAUAGGGAUCAUUUCUGUUAAGUUUCUUUCUAUUUCCUGUGACUAGCCCUUAAUUUGUAUAUAGUGCCUUAACAUUAUUAUUUUAUACACAAAAACAAAAGAGGAUUUAUCCAUAAUGACUCUUUUAAAUAUUCAUAUAAUUAAAAUUCAACGAAAACGAGAAAAUACCGAAUUACAAUUGCUUUUUCUUGUAUGGAUAUAUCAUCAAAGUUACUUCGCUAAUUUUUGUGGCAGUGACUUUUUAUAACAAAAAAUUGCCUUUGAAGGAUAAAUGGUAUUUUUUUUCCUUUGUCUUUGAUGUUAGCAAUCUGAAUUUUUACAUUAAAUUUAUACAGAUUUCAGUAAAUAAUUUAGUGGAAAAUAUGUGUUAAGACAAAAAUUGAGUUUAAAAAAUUAAGAUAAACACUAACUCUUACAUUCUUGUAAUGUAGGGCAAUUGUGUAAUCUUUUGGUAAAGGCACUUCCUUCUACGUGAUUCAGGUACAAGUUCUUCAAAAAUAUUCAUUUGAUACUAAUUUUGUUAUUCUUUCAUGGUGAUUUGUAAAAGACCUUUGUAUAUUUUUCCUUUAAAACUUCAUGUUGAUUUCUCGACUAUUCUAUGUAUUUCAAUUUUUAAAUUUAUAUUGUGAACAGGUUCACAUUCAUAAUUGCAUUUUUAUUAAGAAAUUCAAUGUAUAUGUGAUUAUUUUGCUAGGUUUUUGCUUUUCUGGGAUUUCUUGUACUUUUGUUGGCGUUUUCAAACUAAUGAUUUUGGUUUUUUUUGGCCCCCAAAAUAGCUAUGUAUCCAUAUCUUAACGACGACCUGUAAUAUAGCACCAAAACCUCAUAAAAAUUUUACUUGCUAGCUAGCCAACGUACCUACAUCUUCUCUUUAUAUUUUGGCUUACUAACUUAAAUUAAAUUUUGACCUGUCACUUUAGGCUUCUUUCAAAAAAAAANAGUCGCCCAGAGCUGUUACUCUAUUCUCGCCCAAACCUUCGAGUCGCCCAAGGUCUUAGCAAACAUGAAGUGUGUGGUUAUCAAGAAGUGCAGUUAUCAAAGCAGUUAUUAAAGCAGCUCUAUCACGUUCCACGAUUCAAGGAACUUAAUUGAAGACGGUUGAACGACAAAGAGUAAUGGCAGCAGUUAGAAAAGGUAGUUCCAUAACAAGUUGGUCAUUACGAGGAAAGUGAGCAGUUAUAGAACGAUCCAGUAGUUUUUAGGUGGUUGAUCACAAAGAGAUCAUCCAGGGAGUAUAAAAGGAAGGAGGACAUAGAGCAAAGAGACCGAAUCAAAAACUCUCGAACAGAGAACAUGUAAUUUUAAAUUUAUUAGUUUAGAUUUAAACACUUCUUUCAGUAACUCGUGUGUUUGCGCUCCUUGGAGACAUUCUGUUUUUAAUUUCCAAUUGUAAAGUCAGCGCCAAUAAAGAACACCCCUUUUUGGGAUUUUGUCUCAAGAGAUUUGUCCCUUACACAAUCGUCUGAUCCCUUUUUAAUUAUUAGCGACGAACCCACACGAAACAGAAAUCAAACCCUAAGAGAAAGAAGAAAGGUAAUAAUCUCCUAUGUGUGUCUCCAAUCGUACGUACACUUCAUACCCCGUGCUCGAUUUUGUGUUUCAAAUUAUAUGAAUUAUUUUGCGAAUGGGUAAAAGUUCCUAACUUUUUUUAAUCUUUUGUUCAAUUCUUCUUUUUUGGUGUUCAAUUUAUAUUUUGGCUCUUCGGACUAUCAAUUGGUAAUUUUGUUUAUUUGCUGGAAAUUUUUUGAAGUGAAUUUUGGUUCAGUUUUUUUUUUUCUUGGUUUAUUUUUGCUAUAAAUUCGAGUGGUCUUCCGUUUUGUUUUUAAAAAUCUUUGAUUAAUUUAUUUUGAGUUUGGACUUUUAUUUUGGUGUUUGUGUGGAAAUUGCUUAAAAGAGGCAGUGGACUUUAUUUAGUUUUGAAGUGGGUUAAUUUUGAAGUUGGGGAGUUUGAAUGCUGUGUAGUUUUUGACGUACUAUGCAUAUUUUUUUAAAAUUUUUUUUAAAUGUGCAGAUCUUCAUAUCGAAUGUACAAUUGGAGCUAUGAUGUCCUGAAAUUUUGAAUCACUAUACAAAUUAUUUGGCAAUACUGUUAUUUUUGAGUAAUUUACGAUUAAUUAUAUUUCUUUGAGAGUUUUUGUUUUCUAUCUAUAACUGAAAAAUGGACUGCUUGGUUUUCCACGAUUUGUUUCUGUAUUUCUUUUUUGGUGGAUAUUAUUAUUAUUGUUUUGCUCAUGCCAGAUUGCUUAAAUUCUUUUUGCCAUUAAACAAAUAUGUUCUAAUGGGUUAUUAAAUAUCUAUUUCCUUUUCAGUUGUGAUUGUAAGAAAUUAUUGGUCCUCAAUGUAAAUUUGUUUGGCGUCCUCUUCGUUUUCACUUUUGGAUAGUUUUUUUAUAUUCAAUGUGGUCUGACUAUGCCAAUAUUAAUAUACCCCGAGGAGUGCAUCCCGAGGACUCAAUCUAUACCCCACCUCAUUUCUCUUCUUCGGUCCUCGAGGUCAUCUAAGUCCUCGAGAUAUUGUAGUCCUCGAGAUACCUCAAGGACACAUUUACAUUCCCUCAAUGUCCUCGAGAAUAGUCCUCGAGACAUACACCACCAACAUACCUCCUAAGACCUGGGUACCUAACUAACAAACCUAAACACCCAAGGAUUCUACAUCAACCCUAACACCACUUGUCAAACAAUUCCAUUACAAGUAGGACAUUCUUUAUAAUAGAAAUUCCCUUGGAUAAAAACAUCCAACCAACACAAUCCUACUAGGAGUACACUACCUACUCCUAUAAAAGCAGAACCUUGGGCCAUUAUUCAGGUACGUUUUGACAUUGUUCUUUAGCACAUAGCCUCACGCAUAUAUUUCCCUUUCUGACUUAAGCAUCGGAGGGGCGACGAGAACACGCCUCGUUGCCUUUGUUUCAGGUAUCGGAAGAUCACGUUCGUGCUCCUCACCAGUCAUCAAGCUCGGAAAAUUUACAGGUACGAUUUUUGGUAGCAUCAUGGUCCAAUAAAUUUUUGACGGGAAAAUUAACGAUUCUUGUUAUAUGUCACCAGGUUAACAGCUAUUCCUAGGGUUGUCAACCUCUCGCAAACCUCGACUCCUGAUCACAAAUGGAUAACAAGCCAAAUAUUAGAAACGGGAUUAAAUAAAUAGACCCUGGAUGCACAGUGCAUGUUUGGUAUAUGCAGUACUCGACCUAAAAUCAUGGUGGCACAACCCCAGCCGCCAGAGGAGGAUUUUAGGGCGGGGCGGCCUUUGUAGUCCCAGGCAUCCGGGAGAGUUUCAGCAGCUUCUUGUUCGGUUUCCGGGAGUGCCAUUCAAAUGCAGAAAGGUUUUGGAUUAUGAAAUUUGUAUUUUAGCAGAGGAAAUUCAACGGAGAAGGGGUGGGGGGUGUUUAACUCUAGCUGUGCCUUGGAAUUCCAAUAAUUUUAUAGGAUCAUUUAUGUAAUCUUUAUUAUGCCCUUGUUGGGUAAGCAGAUUUAAAUAAAUAUUGAUGAAAUAUGUGGUUAAAAAGUUGUCAAACACAUAAAAUAUGAUUAAAAUUAAUUAUAGAUUAAACUUUCCAAACGAGGAUACAUUGGAUAAGUGUGGACAACAUCUUUAAUUAUUUUAAUGAUUAAAGCAUAAAUAAGCGACAUUCUUCUAUCAAUGAAGUAUAUCCUCGAAAAGAUGGAGAGAAUGCUAAAAGAAACAAUAGUAGGGUGAGUUUUUAUGGUUAUUACUUCUCCCACCAAAGCACAGGCCUGCUUCUCGGCUUCAAUGGACUAUUUUGAAAAAAAAAAAAAAAAAAAAAUCUCCUGCUUUAGUCUUGUAUGGACACACAUCUGAGAUUUUCUUGAAUUUUAUUAUAUAAUCAUGAUGACGCCUCUUGAUAUUAAGUGCCUUACAAACUCUUCAUUUAAAAAUUACACACGAAUUGAAGUAUUCAAGAAUGUUAUGCAAAACAUGAGCAAGAAAUUUGAAACUUUUAUCACCCCUUUUCUAAAAAGAAAUGGUUAGUCAUUCAAUUUUUCAGACUUGAAACUCAUUUCACAUGAAUAUUUUUGCAUUCGUAUGCUCCCAGAUUAUUAUACAUAUGUUUUCAUUCAUGUUUAGAAAAUCUUAAGCCGUUUGGAUGUCUCGAAGAUUAAAUAUUCAUUCUAUGAAUUAUAUUUAUUUAACAAUUAAUUGAUUUAUCUAAGUUUAAUUCAUGCAUGAUUCUUUACAUAGGAAAUGAAAAGUUGGGUUUAAGAAAUAUUUUCUAAUGUAGAGGUUUCUUCCCAUGAUUUUUUAUUUUUUUUUAUUUAAAGAAAAAUCCUAAUUUUUGGCAGAGUUUUAGUUUAGUUCUCAAUUUAUUUGAUUGAGAUGAAGAAAGUUAGUGAAAUUCUGAAGGGGAAAUGAAAUGUUGGGAUUUAAGAAGGUUAGGUGUUUUGAUGAGAUUGAUGAAAAUUAUCGGAGUUUUGAGACAAUGGGUGGUGGAAAAGAGUGUGAUAUCCCUAUACCUUAAAAGACACUUACCAAUCGUUACUGUUCAUAGUUGAGUUCCACGUUUUCACACUUAACCUUUUGGAACUGGCUUGGCAAUUUCGAUGGGCCGGUAGUUACUGUUGAUGAGCCCAAAAGUUUUUUGUAUCAGUCAUUCAAUUUUUCAGACUUGAAACUCAUUUCACACGACUUUUUUCUUCAUCAUCUUGCAUAUUGUUGCAUAAACCAAAUUAUUAUACAUAUGUUUUCAUUCAUGUUUAGAAGAUCUUAAGCCGUUUGGAUCACUCGAAGAUUAAAUAUUCAUUUUAUGAAUUAUAUUUAUUUAACGAUUAAUUGAUUUAUCUAAGUUUAAUUCAUGCAUAAUUCUUUACGUAGGAAAUGAAAAGUUGGGUUUAGGAAAUAUUUUCUAAUGUAGAUGUUUCUUCCCAUGAUUUUUUUUUAUUUAAAGAAAAUUCCUAAUUUUUGUUAAGAGUUUUAGUUUAGUUCUCAAUCUAUUUGAUUGAGAUGAAGAAAGUAAGUGAAAUUAUGAAGGGGAAAUGAAAUCUUGGGAUUUAAGAAGGUUAGGUGUUUUGAUGGGAUUGAUGAAAAUUACCGGAGUUUUGAGACAAUGGGUGGUGAAAAAGAGAGUGUGAUAUUAAAAAUGGAGAAGUAGGUGUUGGAGCAAUGAAUCAAAAUGAUUUCUUUGUUAGGAAUGAGGUUUUUCAUAGUUUUGUAGUGGAUUCAUGUCUUCUUCAUGUGAAUGAUCAGAACAAAUGGGACUUUCAUUUUAAUGAUGGGAAAGAGGAAAGUAGGUUGGAUUUUGAUAAUAAUUUGCCUAGUGUGCCGAACUUUGAUAUGAAAGAUGGUGGAAUGGAAAGAAUCUAUCAAGGAUAUACACAACAACAACUUGUGAACAUUGAGAGGAGAGUGGAAAUUAUUGACAUUACGUCAAUGAGAGGAUGAUGAUGUGGAAAUAAUAGCUUAUAAAAAAGAUGAUAUCGGAAAGGGUAAGCAAAUUGAGGUUGGGAUGUUACGUGAUAGUACAGAAAAUUUGAACGUUGCUGUGGCAUACUCUUCUCAUUAUGUAGGAUUAGGUGUAUUUGUUCAAUAUGCGUGGAAGAUGCAUUUUGGAAGUACUUGAGGUUGUUUUGUAGUAUGAUUUUGGAGCAAAUGUAUACACAUUUUCUGUUUGUUAUAUAGAUGUUGAGACAACAUCUAUUUUUUAUAGCCUAAUUAUGGUAAAUCGAAAUAAACUAGAAUGCACUAUAUUACACCAUCUAGAAUCAUAAAAGUAAAGACUUAACCCCUUGUACCAUGGAAAUGUAACGCUUAAAAACAGUUCAAUUAGCAUGCUAUAGACCAAUUGAAUUUCGCACAUGAAUUCCAUGUAUGUGAAAUAUUUCCUAUUUUCGUAUGAUAAUUAUUGAGAGGUUGAGAGGGGGUGGUAUUGUCUGGUUAUUUUGAAGUAUGAGUGCUAACAGGUAAUGCCUUCUUUUUCGAGAGAUGCAUAGAGUAUAACUUGCAUGUGUGGUUAAAUCAAGUGAGGUCUGGUGCUGGUUGUGAUUAUUUAAUUUGCAUCCAAACUAAUGUUAGGAUGACAAAAAAAUACGCUCGAUAAAAUUCAAAGGGUUAGGUUGAAGAAAAUGAAAGCUAGGAGUUAGGGAUCAUUUCUGUUAAGUUUCUUUCUAUUUCCAAUCACUAGUCCUUAAUUUGUAUAUAGUGCCUUAACAUUAUUAUUUUAUACACACACACAAGAAAAAAAAGAGGAUUUAUCCAUAAUGACUCUUUUCAAUGUUCAUAUAAUUAAAAUUCAACAAAAAAAGAGAAAAUACCGAAUUACAAUUGCUUUUGCUUGUAUGGAUAUAUCAUCAAAGUUACAUCGCUAAUUUUUGUGGCAGUGACUUUUUAUAACAAAAAAAUUGCCUUUGAAGGAUAAAUGGUACUUUUUUCCUUUGUCUUUGAUGUUAACAAUCUGAAUUUUUACAUUAAAUUUAUACAGCCUUCAGUAAAAUAAUUUAGUGGAAAAUAUUUGUUAAGACAAAAAUUGAGUUUAAAAAGUUAAGAUAAAUACUAACUUUUACGUUCUUGUAAUGUAGGGCAAUUGUGUAAUCUUUUGGUAAAGGCACUUCCUUCUAAGUGAUUCAGGUACAAUUUCUUCAAAAAUAU
Molecule: long non-coding RNA, 10085 nt
Filed under: Olea europaea subsp. europaea
Lineage: Eukaryota; Viridiplantae; Streptophyta; Magnoliopsida; Lamiales; Oleaceae
Source: RNAcentral